Molecule: ribosomal RNA, 748 nt
Filed under: uncultured Chitinophaga sp.
Lineage: Bacteria; Pseudomonadati; Bacteroidota; Chitinophagia; Chitinophagales; Chitinophagaceae
Description: bacterial SSU rRNA
Rfam family: Bacterial small subunit ribosomal RNA
Source: RNAcentral
GAGUUUGAUCCUGGCUCAGGAUGAACGCUAGCGGCAGGCUUAAUACAUGCAAGUCGUGGGGCAGCACAGGUAGCAAUACUGGGUGGCGACCGGCAAACGGGUGCGGAACACGUACGGAACCUUCCUUUAAGCGGGGGAUAGCCCAGGGAAACUUGGAUUAAUACCCCAUAAGAAUGUAGAGUGGCAUCACUCAGCAUUUAAAGCUACGGCACUUAAAGAUGGGCGUGCGGCUGAUUAGGUAGUUGGCGGGGUAACGGCCCACCAAGCCGACGAUCAGUAACUGGUGUGAGAGCACGACCAGUCACACGGGCACUGAGACACGGGCCCGACUCCUACGGGAGGCAGCAGUAAGGAAUAUUGGUCAAUGGACGCAAGUCUGAACCAGCCAUGCCGCGUGGAGGAUGAAGGCCCUCUGGGUUGUAAACUUCUUUUAUCUGGGAAGAAACCGGACUUUUCUAAGGCCGUUGACGGUACCAGAUGAAUAAGCACCGGCUAACUCCGUGCCAGCAGCCGCGGUAAUACGGAGGGUGCAAGCGUUAUCCGGAUUCACUGGGUUUAAAGGGUGCGUAGUGGGCAGGUAAGUCAGUGGUGAAAUCUCUGGGCUUAACCCGGAAACUGCCGUUGAUACUAUCUGUCUUGAAUAUAGUGGAGGUGAGCGGAAUAUGUCAUGUAGCGGUUGAAAUGCUUAGAUAUGACAUAGAACAUCGAUUGCGAAAGGCAGCUCGCUACACUAUGAUUGACACCUGAC